CCUACGGGGGGCAGCAGUGAGGAAUAUUGGUCAAUGGACGAGAGUCUGAACCAGCCAAGUCGCGUGAAGGAUGACUGCCCUAUGGGUUGUAAACUUCUUUUAUCUGGGAAUAAAACGUUGCACGUGUGGGAUUUUGUAUGUACCAUAUGAAUAAGGAUCGGCUAACUCCGUGCCAGCAGCCGCGGUAAUACGGAGGAUUCGAGUGUUAUCCGGGUUUAUUGGGUUUAAAGGGUGGGUAGGUGGUUCGUUAAGUCAGUUGUGAAAGUUGGCGGGUCAAACGUAAAAUGGCAGUUGAAACUGGCAGGCUUGAGUACAGGAGAGGUGCGCGGAAUGCGUGGUGUAGCGGUGAAAUGCUUAGAUAUCGCGAAGAACUCCGAUUGCGAAGGCAGCGCACUGGAGUGAAACUGACACUGAGGCUCGAAAGUGUGGGGAUCAAACAGGAUUAGAUACCCUGGUAGUC
This 460-nucleotide ribosomal RNA is filed under the name uncultured bacterium. RNAcentral describes it as "partial 16S ribosomal RNA". It matches the Rfam family "Bacterial small subunit ribosomal RNA", at positions 338 to 795 of the family's 1533-position model. The record is from RNAcentral.